AAUCAACGCUGGCGGCGUGCCUAACACAUGCAAGUCGCGCGCGAAUAGGGGGGCAACCCCCUUAGUAGAGCGGCGAACGGGUGAGUAACACGUGGGUAAUCUACCUUCGAGUGGGGAACAACAUCGGGAAACUGGUGCUAAUUCCGCAUGACAUCGUCGGGGGCUUCGGUCCUGACGAUCAAAGCCGGGGAUCGCAAGACCUGGCGCUUGAAGAUGAGCCCGCGUCCCGAUUAGCUAGUUGGCGGGGGUAAUGGCCCACCAAGGCUUCGAUCGGUAGCCGGCCUGAGAGGGCGGACGGCCACACUGGAACUGAGACACGGUCCAGACUCCUACGGGAGGCAGCAGUGGGGGAAUUUUUCGCAAUGGGGGC
RNAcentral lists this ribosomal RNA (370 nucleotides) under uncultured bacterium. RNAcentral's name for it is "partial 16S ribosomal RNA". It matches the Rfam family "Bacterial small subunit ribosomal RNA", at positions 32 to 378 of the family's 1533-position model. The record is from RNAcentral.